Ursus americanus (American black bear) is the source of this 1243-nucleotide long non-coding RNA. Lineage: Eukaryota; Metazoa; Chordata; Mammalia; Carnivora; Ursidae. The record is from Ensembl.
AGGAAGUGCACUUCAGAGGGCCGGCACAUUUUUAUAUGGAAACUCAAAGUAAAUGUGGUUCCAAGGAUAGAGAAACGGUCAUACACGUGUCAAGCCAGGAUGCAGCAUUUACACAGACUGGCUUCUUGAAUGGUGGGAAAAUCAUGGCGGCAUUGAACACCACAUCAACGGAGGCUGCAUACCAGGUGGUUCAGAACUGAGUUGGUGAAGCAGAGGAAGAGCUCUCCUUGUUGAAAUCAGCGGCAUACUAGAAGAGACUCAGAGGGAAGAACAGUGCCCAACAGGCAAACUGUGACUAGUUAGUGCUGCGGAAACCAGCCAGAGGACUGUGAGACGGCUCAUGACCAAAGUUGAACAAUAUCGUAUGCAUUUGGGCUUUUCCUUCUCAGUUUUCAUAGAAUGGCACCUUUGCUAUUCACAGGUGGUACACACCUUUUAAUGAAACCAUUGGUUCUGUUCCUAAUAGCAUGAAACGCUGGCUUUAUUUCAGGGGCUUUGGGUAACUCUUCUUGUUAGUGCCUCACUGUUGAAGAUUCCUGUACCAGUGGCAGGAAGAACAGAUUUCUCAUUUUUAUUUCCAGGCUGCUGCUCUGGUUCAUGUCUACGCAGAUGGGUCUGUAUUGGUUGCUCAUGGUAGAGUUGAAUUGGGACAAGGUAUUAAUACCAAAAUGAUACAGGUGAGAGAGGUAGUUUCAGUUUUGCCAUUGGCCAAAAUUAGACUUCAUAAAAUAUUCCCAGACACUGUAUUAUGCUGCUUUGGAGCUUUGUGAUACAAUGACCAAAGUCACCUACAAGUGUCCCUAGGAGCUCAUUCUGGAUUACUGGGAAAUAAGCCCGCUGGGACUUGGGAAGGGGGCUUUCCUCCCUUAUCUCUCACCAAAAUUCCACUUCCCCAGGGACCGGUGGCUUCCUUCCCUCGGGCAGAAGUUCUAUAACUUCUCAUGGGUUCCUAAGUCCAGCAGGCCUCUCUGUGGGUCAUGAAAGGAUGGAGAAUCUAUGCUUUCUCUUGGUGGCCAGCCAUGAAUUAAAGAUACCAAUGUCUUCCAGACACCUUGGCUACAUGAAUACCAUGACAGUGCCCAACACAAUUCUCAUGGCAGCCUCUACUAGUACAGAUGCCCAUGGAAAAGCUGUGCAGGUCAUAGAGAAGAAUGCUGAUCCUGAAGUAAACCUACUAUACUACCUGAGGAAAGUCCGUAUCCUUGUGUUUUACUGUAAUGAAUCUGGACUGGGUGGUAAAAAG